This is a non-coding RNA of Acanthosepion pharaonis, 111 nucleotides long. The record is from the annotation of a GenBank genome assembly. Lineage: Eukaryota; Metazoa; Mollusca; Cephalopoda; Sepiida; Sepiidae.
UACGGCUACAUCACGUUGAAACAUUGGUUUCCUUACGAUCACCGAAGUUAAGCAACGUCGCACCUGGUCAGUACCUAGAUCGGUGACUGUUUGGGAAUACUAGGCGCUAUA